GUAGACAUUGUACUGCUAUAAACGGGUUACACAGACCAUAGAGAAUCUGGUCUUUAUCAGAGAUUAUAACGUGUAACUUUCAGGAAUAUUACAAAUGGAUAAUAAAAGAGUAUUUUAAAAAAAUUCCAAAGUAGAAAGAUUACAAGAUAUAUUCAGUUCUGUGUAACUGUAUAUAAUGAUUAAUUUCCCUUGAUAGUUAUAGCUACUUAAUAUUGGCGAGUAUACUAAUUAGUCACCUCAUCAAACAAUUCUCAUGCUGUCAAUAUUUAAUUAUUUUAUUUUGCUUCAAGACUAAUUGUUCCUAUGGCUAAAAGCAUUUGGACUAAAGUAAAGAGUUUAAAACUUAGCAUAUCCAACAUGUUUUCUAUUGAUAGAUCAAAAACUUAAUCUAAGAAGGAAGACAAUAACCAAAGAGGUUUUUAAACACCAAGAUACUUAAAAGCAUUUAGCCUGCUUAACACUUCACAUCCAAACUGUGAGCUGUGUUCUUGUGGAUAUGCUGAAUUAGUGUACAAGGUCAGAGUCCCUCAAGUUAUUAUCAAGGCAAUGUGAAUGCAAAUGUUAACUAGAAUAUCAAUCAUACGUAUAUGCAGAUAAAUAAGAAUUUUUAUACAGAAUUCAAAAUAGAAACAGUUAUCUGCACUAAACAUUUUUUCCAGGAAUAAUCUGACAGUAAACAGUAAUUUUGUUAUUCAUUUUCAUUACAUUGCUGUAAAGCCCUGGAGACUAACAUGAAAAACAAAGCAUGUCUUGUCUGUAUAAAUUUCCUGUGUAACUGUUAAAGUCUCUGUCUAAUAUCAGCAUAAAAAUAAUUUACUUUACAAUGUCAUAACAAAGAAAAAAAUAGUCUAGCCUUAACAGAAAAAAAGAGACCUGGAUAUAUUUUAUUUAAUUAAGUUUAAUUCAUGAGAACAAAUUGCUAUAAGAGAAAUGCUGAAGCUGUGGAGACUUACUCCUGCUUUUCAGUAGAAGUGGGGCUGAUUUCAGGCUUAAGAGACCAGUGAAUCUGUCAGCCAAAUACCAAGUAACUGUAGGUACUGUCACAUUGUUAAAUGAUACUAUUUGGACUCAAAUGUAGCCUAUGUGAACUGAAAAUUUCUAUUGAGAACUCCAUCUUGUGUUUCUGUGAACAAAGAUUUUAUGCAUCUUUGCUUUUCUCACUAGGAAUGAGGGCACAAUAUUUUUCUUUUGUUGCCAAAGUUGAUUAAAAACAUCUUUUUUGCCCCUGGGAAGUAUAACUCUUUUUUACCUAGAAGAAUGUGAGGGAAAAGUUCAAUGAAGAUCAAGAAACUAGUAUCCUACAACCUGAGCUCACAUCAUCCUCUUAAAUUCUGAAGAUGAGAUUGAAAUAUUAGAUUUAUCUCUAUUUUUCCUUUAGCUACUAACAAGCUGUAGACAAAUACUAUUGGGCUUUAUUUUAGAAAAUGAUAAAUUUUCAGAUACAUCACAGUUCUGGAGAAGGAUUUUUACUUCAUUCAAGUUUUUCUAGGAAGCCUCUAUCUUUUAUGACUAAAAGUUCAGGAUUUCAAGGGAAAAGCAAAAAACUUAUGCUCCAGAGAAAAACAUUGAACAACUAUUGCAGACAGUGAAUGAGCAAUGACCACCAACUCAUACUUUGAGAGCAGUCAAUCUAUAAAUUUUUUCAGGCUAGAAUUAAAGGUUUAUCAGGAAAAGUUACUUUGUCCUAUAAAGAAAUAUAAAUGAAAUUGCUAAAUGAAGGCACAUGCUGACAGAGUAGAGGGGAAAAAAUCCUGGCAAAACUUUUCUCUGUGGAGUGCUUAACUAGGUAAAAUGUUUUGAAAACUAAAUCAUUUUAUAGGAUCAUUACACUUGAUAGUAGCUUGAUAAUUCCUAGAGGGACUCUGUACCAAAAAGCUUUUUUGCAAACAACAACUAAAAAUUCUACUCAAGCUCCUAAAAACCUGGGAAACUUAGGGGUAUAUCCACAAUAUAAAUUCCAUUUGCAUUAGUAACACUUCUCUAUAGGAGGAAAAUCUGAAAACUUAAACUAAGCAUUCUCGGGCCUAGAAAAAUUGUGCUACUAAAACAUGAGCCAAGGGCAACACUACAUACUUUCAUCAAAGGCUUAGACUAGCACCUCUCCUGUGUGACAGGAGAAAAAAAUGAUGAGGUUGAGGCAGAGAUUUGGUUGGUUAUUAACGACUCAGUGCUCAACAAAGCAGAAUAAAACUAUACAGUCAGAGAAAUUCUCCCCAGUUAGCUGCUAUUCUACUGCAUCACUCAAGUCUGCAGAGGAAACUAUGCAAGAAGAUGACUGGAGCCAAUUCAAUUCAAGAGGGAAAAAAAGGAAGCUAUUGAGAGACCAAGUUAAAGGAAGAAACUCUUUCUGAGCAUUCUCCUAGGUAGAGAAGGACUGAUGACCACUCACAUCAUUUCCAUCACCCUCAUGUACCUGGGCUGAAAAAACCCAAAGAGUUGUUCUAAAAGAUGCUGUUCUUUGAUAAAUGCAUAGUAAAUUAGCUGUGG
Long non-coding RNA from Neopelma chrysocephalum (saffron-crested tyrant-manakin), 2487 nucleotides. RefSeq lists it as uncharacterized. The transcript has 2 exons. Lineage: Eukaryota; Metazoa; Chordata; Aves; Passeriformes; Pipridae. The record is from RefSeq and is a predicted model, not a curated record.